RNAcentral lists this ribosomal RNA (1159 nucleotides) under Escherichia coli. Its description in RNAcentral is "partial 23S ribosomal RNA". It matches the Rfam family "Bacterial large subunit ribosomal RNA", at positions 375 to 1540 of the family's 2925-position model. The record is from RNAcentral. Lineage: Bacteria; Pseudomonadati; Pseudomonadota; Gammaproteobacteria; Enterobacterales; Enterobacteriaceae.
GUACACAAAAAUGCACAUGCUGUGAGCUCGAUGAGUAGGGCGGGACACGUGGUAUCCUGUCUGAAUAUGGGGGGACCAUCCUCCAAGGCUAAAUACUCCUGACUGACCGAUAGUGAACCAGUACCGUGAGGGAAAGGCGAAAAGAACCCCGGCGAGGGGAGUGAAAAAGAACCUGAAACCGUGUACGUACAAGCAGUGGGAGCACGCUUAGGCGUGUGACUGCGUACCUUUUGUAUAAUGGGUCAGCGACUUAUAUUCUGUAGCAAGGUUAACCGAAUAGGGGAGCCGAAGGGAAACCGAGUCUUAACUGGGCGUUAAGUUGCAGGGUAUAGACCCGAAACCCGGUGAUCUAGCCAUGGGCAGGUUGAAGGUUGGGUAACACUAACUGGAGGACCGAACCGACUAAUGUUGAAAAAUUAGCGGAUGACUUGUGGCUGGGGGUGAAAGGCCAAUCAAACCGGGAGAUAGCUGGUUCUCCCCGAAAGCUAUUUAGGUAGCGCCUCGUGAACUCAUCUCCGGGGGUAGAGCACUGUUUCGGCAAGGGGGUCAUCCCGACUUACCAACCCGAUGCAAACUGCGAAUACCGGAGAAUGUUAUCACGGGAGACACACGGCGGGUGCUAACGUCCGUCGUGAAGAGGGAAACAACCCAGACCGCCAGCUAAGGUCCCAAAGUCAUGGUUAAGUGGGAAACGAUGUGGGAAGGCCCAGACAGCCAGGAUGUUGGCUUAGAAGCAGCCAUCAUUUAAAGAAAGCGUAAUAGCUCACUGGUCGAGUCGGCCUGCGCGGAAGAUGUAACGGGGCUAAACCAUGCACCGAAGCUGCGGCAGCGACGCUUAUGCGUUGUUGGGUAGGGGAGCGUUCUGUAAGCCUGUGAAGGUGUGCUGUGAGGCAUGCUGGAGGUAUCAGAAGUGCGAAUGCUGACAUAAGUAACGAUAAAGCGGGUGAAAAGCCCGCUCGCCGGAAGACCAAGGGUUCCUGUCCAACGUUAAUCGGGGCAGGGUGAGUCGACCCCUAAGGCGAGGCCGAAAGGCGUAGUCGAUGGGAAACAGGUUAAUAUUCCUGUACUUGGUGUUACUGCGAAGGGGGGACGGAGAAGGCUAUGUUGGCCGGGCGACGGUUGUCCCGGUUUAAGCGUGUAGGCUGGUUUUCCAGGCAAA